RNAcentral lists this ribosomal RNA (415 nucleotides) under uncultured bacterium. Its description in RNAcentral is "bacterial SSU rRNA". It matches the Rfam family "Bacterial small subunit ribosomal RNA", at positions 355 to 794 of the family's 1533-position model. The record is from RNAcentral.
UGGGGAAUAUUGCACAAUGGGCGAAAGCCUGAUGCAGCGACGCCGCGUGAGGGAUGACGGCCUUCGGGUUGUAAACCUCUUUCAGCAGGGAAGCGGUACCUGCAGAAGAAGCGCCGGCUAACUACGUGCCAGCAGCCGCGGUAAUACGUAGGGCGCAAGCGUUGUCCGGAAUUAUUGGGCGUAAAGAGCUCGUAGGCGGCUUGUCACGUCGGGUGUGAAAGCCCGGGGCUUAACCCCGGGUCUGCAUUCGAUACGGGCUAGCUAGAGUGUGGUAGGGGAGAUCGGAAUUCCUGGUGUAGCGGUGAAAUGCGCAGAUAUCAGGAGGAACACCGGUGGCGAAGGCGGAUCUCUGGGCCAUUACUGACGCUGAGGAGCGAAAGCGUGGGGAGCGAACAGGAUUAGAUACCCGAGUAGU